AAUUCUGUAGUUUAAGUUUAAAACUUAAAAUUGCAAGUUUUAUGAUGGUACUUCCCUGAAU
RNAcentral lists this transfer RNA (61 nucleotides) under Rhipiphorothrips cruentatus. RNAcentral describes it as "tRNA-Cys". Lineage: Eukaryota; Metazoa; Arthropoda; Insecta; Thysanoptera; Thripidae. The record is from RNAcentral.